ACGCUGGCGGCAGGCCUAACACAUGCAAGUCGAGCGGUAGCACAGGAGAGCUUGCUCUCUGGGUGACGAGCGGCGGACGGGUGAGUAAUGUCUGGGAAACUGCCUGAUGGAGGGGGAUAACUACUGGAAACGGUAGCUAAUACCGCAUGACCUCGCAAGAGCAAAGUGGGGGACCUUCGGGCCUCACGCCAUCGGAUGUGCCCAGAUGGGAUUAGCUAGUAGGUGGGGUAAUGGCUCACCUAGGCGACGAUCCCUAGCUGGUCUGAGAGGAUGACCAGCCACACUGGAACUGAGACACGGUCCAGACUCCUACGGGAGGCAGCAGUGGGGAAUAUUGCACAAUGGGCGCAAGCCUGAUGCAGCCAUGCCGCGUGUGUGAAGAAGGCCUUAGGGUUGUAAAGCACUUUCAGCGAGGAGGAAGGGUACAGUGUUAAUAGCACUGUACAUUGACGUUACUCGCAGAAGAAGCACCGGCUAACUCCGUGCCAGCAGCCGCGGUAAUACGGAGGGUGCAAGCGUUAAUCGGAAUUACUGGGCGUAAAGCGCACGCAGGCGGUUUGUUAAGUCAGAUGUGAAAUCCCCGAGCUUAACUUGGGAACUGCAUUUGAAACUGGCAAGCUAGAGUCUUGUAGAGGGGGGUAGAAUUCCAGGUGUAGCGGUGAAAUGCGUAGAGAUCUGGAGGAAUACCGGUGGCGAAGGCGGCCCCCUGGACAAAGACUGACGCUCAGGUGCGAAAGCGUGGGGAGCAAAC
This 751-nucleotide ribosomal RNA is filed under the name uncultured bacterium. RNAcentral describes it as "bacterial SSU rRNA". It matches the Rfam family "Bacterial small subunit ribosomal RNA", at positions 33 to 773 of the family's 1533-position model. The record is from RNAcentral.